Molecule: ribosomal RNA, 453 nt
Filed under: uncultured Desulfocapsa sp.
Lineage: Bacteria; Pseudomonadati; Thermodesulfobacteriota; Desulfobulbia; Desulfobulbales; Desulfocapsaceae
Description: bacterial SSU rRNA
Rfam family: Bacterial small subunit ribosomal RNA
Source: RNAcentral
GGUGAGUAUGUGGUUUAAUUCGACGCAACGCGCAGAACCUUUACCUGGUCUUGACAUCCCGAGAAUUUUCUGGAAACAGAGAAGUGCCUCGCAAGAGGAAUUCGGAGACAGGUGCUGCAUGGCUGUCGUCAGCUCGUGUCGUGAGAUGUUGGGUUAAGUCCCGCAACGAGCGCAACCCUUGUCUUUAGUUGCCAUCAUUAAGUUGGGCACUCUAAAGAGACUGCCGGUGUCAAACCGGAGGAAGUGGGGAUGACGUCAAGUCCUCAUGGCCUUUAUGACCAGGGCUACACACGUACUACAAUGGCAGGUACAAAGGGCAGCCACUUAGCGAUAAGGCGCGAAUCCCGUAAAACCUGUCUCAGUCCGGAUUGGAGUCUGCAACUCGACUCCAUGAAGUUGGAAUCGCUAGUAAUCGCAGAUCAGCACGCUGCGGUGAAUACGUUCCCGGGCCUU